UACAGAGGUCUCGAGCGUUAGGCGGAAUCACUGGGCUUAAAGCGUGUGUAGGCGGAUCGUUAAGUGCCUUGUGAAAUCCCACGGCUCAACCGUGGAACUGCUUGGCAUACUGGCGGUCUUGAGCAACCUAGGGGCGAGCGGAACAAAUGGUGGAGCGGUGAAAUGCGUAGAUAUCAUUUGGAACGCCAAUGGUGAAAACAGCUCGCUGGGGGUUUGCUGACGCUGAGACACGAAAGCCGGGGGAGCAAACGGG
This 253-nucleotide ribosomal RNA is filed under the name uncultured bacterium. Its description in RNAcentral is "partial 16S ribosomal RNA". It matches the Rfam family "Bacterial small subunit ribosomal RNA", at positions 524 to 776 of the family's 1533-position model. The record is from RNAcentral.